This 301-nucleotide ribosomal RNA is filed under the name uncultured bacterium. Its description in RNAcentral is "partial 16S ribosomal RNA". It matches the Rfam family "Bacterial small subunit ribosomal RNA", at positions 509 to 807 of the family's 1533-position model. The record is from RNAcentral.
CAGUCGCCGCGGGAACACGAAGGGGGCUAGCGUUGUUCGGAAUCACUGGGCGUAAAGCGCACGUAGGCGGACACUUAAGUCAGAGGUGAAAUCCCAAGGCUCAACCUUGGAACUGCCUUUGAUACUGGGUGUCUUGAGUUCGGGAGAGGUGAGUGGAACUGCGAGUGUAGAGGUGAAAUUCGUAGAUAUUCGCAAGAACACCAGUGGCGAAGGCGGCUCACUGGCCCGAUACUGACGCUGAGGUGCGAAAGCGUGGGGAGCAAACAGGAUUAGAUACCCCUGUAGUCCCUGUCUCUUAUAC